This 389-nucleotide ribosomal RNA is filed under the name uncultured eukaryote. Its description in RNAcentral is "SSU rRNA". It matches the Rfam family "Eukaryotic small subunit ribosomal RNA", at positions 587 to 972 of the family's 1831-position model. The record is from RNAcentral.
AGCUCCAAUAGGAUAUAUCAAAGUUGUUGCAGUUAAAAAGCUCGUAGUUGAAUUUCUGGUGGUUAUUUGUUUUUUGUGAGCCAAUGGUUUACGAUUGAAUGGAGACUGCCUUUUUGUGGAUCACGUUUUGUUUGUGUGUUUACUCAUACAAAUAAGGCGCCACUCAGUCACUGAGAGCAAAUUGGAGUGCUCAAAGCAGGCUUUACAGCUUUGAACAUUUUAGCUUGGAAUGACAAGAUAAGACUAGGGUGUUAUUUUGUUGGUUAUGAAAUCUUAGUAAUGAUUAACAGGAACAGUAGCGGGGGUACUCGUAUUGAAGGGUCAGAGGUGAAAUUCUUGGAUUCCUUCAAGACGAACGACUGCGAAAGCAUUUACCAAGGAUGUUUUCA